AGCUGCCGCCCAUGCUGCAGUGCCACUGUCCCUGAGGGGAGCUGCUUUCUUCUGUAGGAAGCCAGGAAGGACGUAGACAAGCAGGGCAUGGAGGGUGCCCCAAGAGCCAGCCAUCCUUCCUCAGCCCAGUGACAACCUGGGAGAGGACACUACUGAUUUUUGUGAGUUGAUUUUGUAACUGCUUGCAAAGAUUUCAGUGUGCUGCAACAGUGAGCUCAGGUUGGCCCUUGACUCAGGGGCUCUGAGCUCACAAAUGCUGUGGACUCAAUACAGAAAACAGCAAUGAUCACUCAAACAUGAACGGUUACCCUGACUCAAGCCAACCACUGUGUGAUCUCUGACCCCAACCCACCAUCACUGGGGAUCAGAGACCCUGCCUGAACCCCUGAGAGGCCCAUGUGGGUCACUGUAGGAGAGCAGCCAAGCUAUGGUGGAGACUCCUGGGAGUCGAAAAUGCCAGUAACAUGGAACCCCUGCCCAGCAGAGAUGCAGGCAGUAAGCAGAGCCAGCCCAGCCCAGAGGUGCGGAAGACUCAGCAGCAGGGGGCCCAGACCCUGUGGAGCUCCCAGCUCAGAAGCCAUGCCUGGAGCUAAAGGACUCAGUGCUUCCCUGACAGGUUUUGGUUUCUUGUCUCACCACAGGCCUGAAAACAACAGAGCCCUCUGAACAUGGACUGAAACCUUUGAAGCCAUGAUCCAGAAUUAAUCCUUCCUCUCUGAGUGGAUCACUCCCAGGCAUUUUGUCACAGCCGUGGAGAGCUAAGAGAGGUCCAGCGUCAAACUUUCUCCACCAAACUGGUCAUGUUUUCCACGAGUUCUUCUCUGAGGACAUACAACCUUUAACAUCUGAGGCAGUAGGCAAGAAAAUUUAACCUUAGCAUCACACUUUGUGUCCAGAAUUCUCCACACUGUGAAUUCGGAAGCUUGAUUCUUGGGAAGGCAACCGUGGAUUCCCUCUGAAUGUGUCUCAUGUGUGACUGUGGGACUAUAAAACAUCACCAGCCAGAGACGGCAGGGAGAUCAUUUACAAGAGUGUUUGUGAUGGGCUGGGGAUUUAGCUCAGUGGUUCCGGUGCCUGCCUUGCAAGCGCAAGGUCCUGAGUUCGAUCCCUGGUACCAAAAAAAAAAGAGCGUUUGUGAAAAGAAACAAAUUUAUUAAAAUUUUGUCCCAGAACUAUGGAAUUCCUCUCAUCAGCACAUACUUCCAAGACUGUUACACAUUGCAAGGUAAAUAUCUCUGAUAGUCUCAAACACAUAACAAAAUGAGAAAAUAGUACAGAAUCAUCACUUUUGUCUUCAACUUCACUGCUGCCUGAACCACAUCUCCCACUGAGCGCGUUCCAGCCAGGAGAGGAUGGGGAGAGAAUGCCCUGCACAGACAGAACUAAUUAUCCAGG
This 1395-nucleotide long non-coding RNA is filed under the name Heterocephalus glaber (naked mole-rat). RNAcentral describes it as "lncRNA (ENSHGLG00100044718.1)". Lineage: Eukaryota; Metazoa; Chordata; Mammalia; Rodentia; Bathyergidae. The record is from RNAcentral.